Molecule: unclassified non-coding RNA, 289 nt
Filed under: Hevea brasiliensis (rubber tree)
Lineage: Eukaryota; Viridiplantae; Streptophyta; Magnoliopsida; Malpighiales; Euphorbiaceae
Source: RNAcentral
GAGAAAUUCGGUGAGCCUUUUGUGAAAUGGGUCAAUGAAACCAAUGAAACAGGGCUUCCUUAUGACCUUGUCGUGGGAGAUGAUGAAUACAUAGAGAUAAAGACAACUAGAUCGUCAACAAAGGAUUGGUUCCAUAUUACCGCAAGGGAAUGGCAGUUUGCGGUUGAGAAGGGUGAAUCUUUUAGCAUUGCCCAUGUUUUCUUAUCGCCCAAUAAUACAGGAGUAGUGACAGUAUACAAAAAUCCAUUCAAACUCUAUCGACUUGGUAAACUACGGUUAGCUCUCCUAA